This 694-nucleotide ribosomal RNA is filed under the name Enterobacter cloacae. Its description in RNAcentral is "bacterial SSU rRNA". It matches the Rfam family "Bacterial small subunit ribosomal RNA", at positions 64 to 748 of the family's 1533-position model. Lineage: Bacteria; Pseudomonadati; Pseudomonadota; Gammaproteobacteria; Enterobacterales; Enterobacteriaceae. The record is from RNAcentral.
GAACGGUAGCACAGAGAGCUUGCUCUCGGGUGACGAGUGGCGGACGGGUGAGUAAUGUCUGGGAAACUGCCUGAUGGAGGGGGAUAACUACUGGAAACGGUAGCUAAUACCGCAUAACGUCGCAAGACCAAAGAGGGGGACCUUCGGGCCUCUUGCCAUCAGAUGUGCCCAGAUGGGAUUAGCUAGUAGGUGGGGUAACGGCUCACCUAGGCGACGAUCCCUAGCUGGUCUGAGAGGAUGACCAGCCACACUGGAACUGAGACACGGUCCAGACUCCUACGGGAGGCAGCAGUGGGGAAUAUUGCACAAUGGGCGCAAGCCUGAUGCAGCCAUGCCGCGUGUAUGAAGAAGGCCUUCGGGUUGUAAAGUACUUUCAGCGGGGAGGAAGGUGUUGUGGUUAAUAACCGCAGCAAUUGACGUUACCCGCAGAAGAAGCACCGGCUAACUCCGUGCCAGCAGCCGCGGUAAUACGGAGGGUGCAAGCGUUAAUCGGAAUUACUGGGCGUAAAGCGCACGCAGGCGGUCUGUCAAGUCGGAUGUGAAAUCCCCGGGCUCAACCUGGGAACUGCAUUCGAAACUGGCAGGCUAGAGUCUUGUAGAGGGGGGUAGAAUUCCAGGGUGUAGCGGUGAAAUGCGUAGAGAUCUGGAGGAAUACCGGUGGCGGAAGGCGGCCCCCUGGACAACACUGACGCUC